GACGAACGCUGGCGGCGUGCUUAACACAUGCAAGUCGAACGGAAAGGCCCUGCUUUUGUGGGGUGCUCGAGUGGCGAACGGGUGAGUAACACGUGAGUAACCUGCCCUUGACUUUGGGAUAACUUCAGGAAACUGGGGCUAAUACCGGAUAGGAGCUCCUGCUGCAUGGGGGGGGUUGGAAAGUUUCGGCGGUUGGGGAUGGACUCGCGGCUUAUCAGCUUGUUGGUGGGGUAGUGGCUUACCAAGGCUUUGACGGGUAGCCGGCCUGAGAGGGUGACCGGCCACAUUAGGACUGAGAGACGGCCCAGUCUCGUACGGGAGGCAGCAGUGGGGAAUAUUGCACAAUGGGCGGGAGCCUGUUGCAGCGACGCCGCGUUCGGGAUGACGGCCUUCGGGUUGUAAACCGCUUUCGCCUGUGACGAAGCGUGCGUGACGGUAAUGGGUAAAGAAGCACCGGCUAACUACGUG
Molecule: ribosomal RNA, 468 nt
Filed under: uncultured bacterium
Lineage: Bacteria
Description: partial 16S ribosomal RNA
Rfam family: Bacterial small subunit ribosomal RNA
Source: RNAcentral